Molecule: long non-coding RNA, 211 nt
Organism: Cotesia glomerata
Lineage: Eukaryota; Metazoa; Arthropoda; Insecta; Hymenoptera; Braconidae
Exons: 2
Source: RefSeq, a predicted model, not a curated record
UCAUUAUGGAUUAAAUUUCGACUUUCUUCGGAAUUAAUAAUAAUCCGAUAGAGAUUUACACUGAUUUCGAACGUCGGCUGCAUGGAAGCCUCACAGCUUCUUUUCCGGAGACAACUGUCCAAACGACCUAUCAUUCUUACUGUUGGGCUUUAUUAAUGGAAGCUGAAAUGCGAGGUCUUUUACCAUUCAACAUCGACGUAAAAAUUAUCUU